RNAcentral lists this ribosomal RNA (447 nucleotides) under uncultured bacterium. RNAcentral's name for it is "partial 16S ribosomal RNA". It matches the Rfam family "Bacterial small subunit ribosomal RNA", at positions 29 to 523 of the family's 1533-position model. The record is from RNAcentral.
AACGAACGCUGGCGGCAGGCUUAACACAUGCAAGUCGAACGCCCCGCACGGGGAGCGGCCGACGGGAGAGUAACGCGGGGGAAUGUGCCCCAAGGUGCGGAACAACACCGGGAAACUGGUGCUAAUACCGGAUGUGGCCGAGAGGUGAAAGAUUUAUCGCCUUGGGAUCAGCCCGCGUUAGAUUAGCUAGUUGGGGAGGUAAUGGCUCACCAAGGCUACGAUCUAUAGCUGGUCUGAGAGGAUGAUCAGCCACACUGGGACUGAGACACGGCCCAGACUCCUACGGGAGGCAGCAGUGGGGAAUCUUGGACAAUGGGCGCAAGCCUGAUCCAGCCAUGCCGCGUGAAUGAUGAAGGCCUUAGGGUUGUAAAGUUCUUUCGUCGGGGACGAUAAUGACGGUACCCGAAGAAGAAGCCCCGGCUAACUUCGUGCCAGCCGCCGCGGUAA